GAUGAACGCUGGCGGCGUGCCUAAUACAUGCAAGUCGAGCGAACAGACGAGGAGCUUGCUCCUCUGACGUUAGCGGCGGACGGGUGAGUAACACGUGGAUAACCUACCUAUAAGACUGGGAUAACUUCGGGAAACCGGAGCUAAUACCGGAUAAUAUAUUGAACCGCAUGGUUCAAUAGUUAAAGACGGUUUUGCUGUCACUUAUAGAUGGAUCCGCGCCGCAUUAGCUAGUUGGUAAGGUAACGGCUUACCAAGGCAACGAUGCGUAGCCGACCUGAGAGGGUGAUCGGCCACACUGGAACUGAGACACGGUCCAGACUCCUACGGGAGGCAGCAGUAGGGAAUCUUCCGCAAUGGGCGAAAGCCUGACGGAGCAACGCCGCGUGAGUGAUGAAGGUCUUCGGAUCGUAAAACUCUGUUAUUAGGGAAGAACAAAUGUGUAAGUAACUAUGCACGUCUUGACGGUACCUAAGCAGAAAGCCACGGCUAACUACGU
RNAcentral lists this ribosomal RNA (496 nucleotides) under uncultured bacterium. RNAcentral's name for it is "partial 16S ribosomal RNA". It matches the Rfam family "Bacterial small subunit ribosomal RNA", at positions 28 to 506 of the family's 1533-position model. The record is from RNAcentral.